AGUGAACGCUGGCGGCGUGCUUAACACAUGCAAGUCGAACGAGAACGGAUUAUAGCUUGCUAUAAUUGUCAGCUAAGUGGCGCACGGGUGAGUAAUGUAUAGGUAAUAUGCCUCUUACUAAGGGAUAACAAAUGGAAACGUUUGCUAAUACCUUAUACUCCUUAUUAACAGAAGUUAAUAAGGGAAAGAUUUAUUGGUAAGAGAUUAGCCUGUAUUGUAUCAGUUAGUUGGUGGGGUAAUGGCUUACCAAGACUAUGACACAUAACUGGUUUGAGAGGAUGAUCAGUCACACUGGAAAUGAGACACCGUCCAGACUCCUACGGGAGGCAGCAGUGGGGAAUAUUGCACAAUGGACGAAAGUCUGAUGCAGCAACGCCGCGUGGAGGAUGACACAUUUCGGUGCGUAAACUCCUUUUAUAUGAGAAGAUAAUGACGGUAUUAUAUGAAUAAGCACCGGCUAACUCCGUGCCAGCAGCCGCGGUAA
This 484-nucleotide ribosomal RNA is filed under the name uncultured bacterium. RNAcentral's name for it is "partial 16S ribosomal RNA". It matches the Rfam family "Bacterial small subunit ribosomal RNA", at positions 29 to 523 of the family's 1533-position model. The record is from RNAcentral.